UUCCGUAGGUGAACCUGCGGAAGGAUCAUUAUCGAACUUAUGGAUUGUCGCUGGCUAGGUCCAUUCUAGCAUGUGCACGUCCUACACAACACACACACACACACCUUGUGCACCUAUUGUAGAUCGAGAGAUCUAUGUCUUAUCAUAAUCAACAUCUAUCGUAUGUCUAGAAUGUAAAUAUAAUACAACUUUCAGCAAUGGAUCUCUUGGUUCUCGCAUCGAUGAAGAACGCAGCGAAUUGCGAUAAGUAAUGUGAAUUGCAGAUUUUCAGUGAAUCAUCGAAUCUUUGAACGCACCUUGCGCUCCUUGGUAUUCCGAGGAGCAUGCCUGUUUGAGUGUCAUUUAAUCAUCAACCACUAGGUCUUUCAUUAGACUUUUUGGCUUGGACUUGGGAUUUGCUGGCUCGUUCAGCUGUCCUUAAAUGCAUUAGCGAGUGUUAUUCUACAUGCACGGCCUUUUCGACGUGAUAACGAUCGUCGUGGGCUGGAAGUGUAGGUUCUUGCUUCAAAUUCAAUAUGCCCUGAUAGCUGGAAGCAUAGCAUGAUUACAAGUGAAUUUGUCGA
Molecule: ribosomal RNA, 563 nt
Filed under: Leccinellum crocipodium
Lineage: Eukaryota; Fungi; Basidiomycota; Agaricomycetes; Boletales; Boletaceae
Description: eukaryotic LSU rRNA
Rfam family: 5.8S ribosomal RNA (bases 187-341)
Source: RNAcentral